RNA transcript from Panicum virgatum (switchgrass), 1626 nucleotides. RefSeq lists it as uncharacterized. The transcript has 5 exons. Lineage: Eukaryota; Viridiplantae; Streptophyta; Magnoliopsida; Poales; Poaceae. The record is from RefSeq and is a predicted model, not a curated record.
AGCAGCCCGCAGUUGAAGCGCCGGGGCAAACCGCCGACUCUCCUCAGCCUCUCAAAAAAAAAAGGACUCGCCUCAGACGACGCCGCCAAGUCCGGCGAGCAUGGGCGCCGCGGCGGCCGACCUCGAGGCGCGUCAGCUCCGCAUCCUCGCCCGGGUCGCGGACCUUGAGCUGGCUGCGCAGCAGCGCCGCCUCGGGGCGCUCUCCAUCGCCGCUGCGCCGCCCUCGGAGGACGGCGCGGGGGCCACCGAGGCGCGGCUCUCGGCCCUCCUGGCCGCGCGCGGCGUGCGGGACUUCGCGUUCCGGCGCGUGCCCGCGGACUACUACGAUCGUCCCCUCGAGGAGCGCCGCGGCCUCCUCCGCGCCGACUCGGUCGCUCAGCUCUGCAAGAGCAUCGUCAUGAUAAUGGCUGCUAUCUGUUUUGUAUGUCAUACAACUAUUAGAAGAUGAGGCUCAUUCUUAGCGACAUGGUUGUGCUUCAAAGAAGACAAGGAUAGGCCAAUAUGGCUGUGCCUUUACAGGAUUCUUUUAGAUGAGUCCCACUUAAAUAUUUGUGCAAAAUAUAAUUGAUCUUUUAAAUUGCAUUGACCUUAUUUGAAUUCUACACUAUUUGAGAAUCGGAGAUGCAAUCUGAAAUAUAGUGGUUAGUUCACUGCCUAUCUGCUUCAAGUAGUAUAGGAAUGUUGAGGGGAUGAGUGCUAUUUUAUCUUGGGAGCUAUACAUAAUGAUUUACUUCCUAGGCAUAGAAGUAUAGAACUACAGUUAAUGGUCAUUUCUCAAAAUCUAACAAUAAUUUUUCUUGAACAUUAGUUGUGACGAAUUUAUCUUUUUCUUUAUUAGGUGAACACACAAGCCGCUGCAGAUGUAGUUGACUGCAGCAAUCCAAAGAAUUCAAAAUACUAUGUCGUUGUUGUUCAGUAUAUGGCACGGCUCAACGCUGAAAACAUCAAGAACUUCCUGUACGAACUAAAUGAGAAGCAAAUACCAAAAAAGAGAUUUAACAUGAGGUUGGCACCAGAAGAGGAGUCACACAAGCUCACUGGGUUUGUGCACAACGCUGUCACAUGCAUCGGGAUGGAAACAGACAUACCGGUUAUCAUUGAUGAAGCUAUCACCAAGUUGGAUGAGGAUUUCUUCUGGCUGGGUGGUGGUGAAGUUGACCUCAAGCUCGGGAUGCGAACCUCACAAUUCCUAAGUGCCUUCAGUCCAUUCGUUGUGAAAUGCAGCUGAUGGUGAUCCGCAACGAAAAGAGAAGCUUCUGCUCCAUUUGGUUCUAGGGAACUUCCAUGGACGCAUCACAUGUAGAAGCACACCGCACACCACAAUAGAUUUUGCUUGGAUCUGGGGUUGGGAUGUCUGUCUUUUUUGGAGCAGGCUAUCCCCUUCCAAUUGCUCGCCUCGCAUUGUUUACAGCUGACUGUUGGUAAGAUUGAUGUAGUGGAGGGGACAUUCUUGGGAAGGUUGAGAUAUUUGCCACAACUAGGCAUAUAAUAAUACUCUUUGCAGUUUGUGCCAAAAAAAAAUCACAUUGGACACCCGUGUGGUUACAUGGUUUAGUCAUGGUAAUUUAUCUGAAAGAUGUACUGACAGUAAUUUUCCACUUUUAUUUCAUCAUAUUAAGCAUAAAA